Molecule: long non-coding RNA, 579 nt
Organism: Mesocricetus auratus (golden hamster)
Lineage: Eukaryota; Metazoa; Chordata; Mammalia; Rodentia; Cricetidae
Exons: 3
Source: RefSeq, a predicted model, not a curated record
GUCCUGCUGCCAGACACUCCCUCCAGCACCUCUCUCUCCUACCCACCUCGUGAGCCAGUGACUCAGUGCCAUGGUGAGCGCUGACUCAGAGCAGCCAACAUCUGCUUGAGGUCAUUCUGCCAGGUCGGUGGCACUUGACAUUGGAAUCAACUGAUGAGCUUUUCAAACCCUUCUCAUCCGGAUUCAGGAGAAUUCAGCGGACAUUUCUGCUCAGGAACAGAGAGAGCAUCACUUGAAGUUCUCGGCGACAACUCUUAGGUGGACUGAGGCCCACGCUCACCCAGGAGAUUAACCCGGCAGGCUGCAGUGAGAAGGGACAGAGCAGGCUCUGACAGGAGGUCCAAGAUGCAAGAGAAAUCCAAACAAAUCUACCUGCUUAAGGAAGACUCUCCCCAAGACUGCCACACCGAGACCUCAACGUCCUGUGGACGUCUCGGGCAAGUGUUAUCCCUGCCACUCAUGUGGCACAUGGCCAUCUAUGACUUCCUGAUGACAUUAUUCUACACCAUUUUGUUUGCAGUGCUGUUUAACAACUUUGUGUGACCAUGUCUCUCACUCCGAAUAAACCUUAACAAAGGA